UAGGGAAUAUUAGAAAUGGCCGAAAGUCUGAUCUAGCAACACCGCGUGUGCGAUGAAGGCCUUCGGGUUGUAAAGCACUUUUUGGAAGGAUUAGGAGGGAAUGUACUUCCAGAAUAAGUCUCGGCUAACUACGUGCCAGCAGCCGCGGUAACACGUAGGAGGCGAACGUUAUCCGGAUUUACUGGGCGUAAAGCGCGUGUAGGUGGUUCUGUAAGUAGGGCGUGAAAGCUCCUGGCUCAACUGGGAGAGGCCGUUCUAAACUGCAGAGCUAGAGGAUGGUAGAGGGAGGUGGAAUUCCGGGUGUAGCGGUGGAAUGCGCAGAUAUCCGGAGGAACACCAGUGGCGAAGGCGGCCUCCUGGACCAUCCCUGACACUCAGACGCGAAAGCUAGGGUAGCAAACGG
Molecule: ribosomal RNA, 403 nt
Filed under: uncultured bacterium
Lineage: Bacteria
Description: bacterial SSU rRNA
Rfam family: Bacterial small subunit ribosomal RNA
Source: RNAcentral